Molecule: ribosomal RNA, 229 nt
Filed under: uncultured bacterium
Lineage: Bacteria
Description: partial 16S ribosomal RNA
Rfam family: Bacterial small subunit ribosomal RNA
Source: RNAcentral
UCCGUAGGCGGGCGUCUAAGUCAGUGGUGAAAUCUUACAGCUCAACUGUAAAAUUGCCAUUGAUACUGGAUGUCUUGAAUUAGUGUGAAGUGGUUAGAAUGUGUAGUGUAGCGGUGAAAUGCAUAGAUAUUACACAGAAUACCAAUUGCGAAGGCAGAUCACUAACACUAUAUUGACGCUGAGGGACGAGAGCGUGGGGAGCGAACAGGAUUAGAUACCCUGGUAGUCC